GACGACGCUGGCGGCGCGGAUUAGGCAUGCAAGUCGAACGGUAUCAUCCUUUCGGGGGUGAGAGAGUGGCGAACUGGUGAGUAACACGUAGGUUAUCUACCCUCAAGGACGGGGACAACCCAGGGAAAACUUGGGCUAAUACCGGAUGUGAGCAACUUUUAGUGUUUGAAAGGUGGCGUAAGCUGUCGCUUGGGGAUGAGCCUGCGUCCUAUUAGUUAGUUGGUGAGGUAACGGCUCACCUAGGCAAUGAUAGGUAGGCGGCCUUAACGGGUGGUCGCCCACACUGGGAUUGAGAUACGGCCCAGACUCCUACGGGAGGCAGCAGUCGAGAAUAGUCUACAAUGGUCGGAAGACUGAUAGUGCGACGCCGCGUGAACGAUGAAUCCCUUCGGGGUGUAAAGUUCUUUUAUAUGUGAGCAGUGCUUCUUAUAUUAACAGUAUGGGGAGAGAGAUAUUAGCAUAUGAAUAAGCAACGGCUAACUCCGUG
RNAcentral lists this ribosomal RNA (487 nucleotides) under uncultured bacterium. RNAcentral's name for it is "bacterial SSU rRNA". It matches the Rfam family "Bacterial small subunit ribosomal RNA", at positions 33 to 507 of the family's 1533-position model. The record is from RNAcentral.